RNAcentral lists this ribosomal RNA (242 nucleotides) under Aeromonas salmonicida subsp. salmonicida 01-B526. Its description in RNAcentral is "partial 16S ribosomal RNA". It matches the Rfam family "Bacterial small subunit ribosomal RNA", at positions 202 to 447 of the family's 1533-position model. The record is from RNAcentral. Lineage: Bacteria; Pseudomonadati; Pseudomonadota; Gammaproteobacteria; Aeromonadales; Aeromonadaceae.
GAAAGAUUUUCGGUUUGGGAGGGUCUCGCGGCCUAUCAGCUUGUUGGUGGGGUAAUGGCCUACCAAGGCAUCGACGGGUAGCUGGUCUGAGAGGAUGAUCAGCCACACUGGGACUGAGACACGGCCCAGACUCCUACGGGAGGCAGCAGUGGGGAAUCUUGCGCAAUGGGCGAAAGCCUGACGCAGCAACGCCGCGUGCGGGAUGAAGGCCUCCGGGCUGUAAACCGCUUUCAGCAGGAACG